UACGGAGGGUGCGAGCGUUGUCCGGAAUCACUGGGCGUAAAGGGCGCGUAGGCGGCGCGGGGAGUCAACGGUGAAAGCUCGGCGCUCAACGCCGAGUCGGCCGUCGAUACUCCCGUGCUCGAGCACUGUAGAGGCAGGUGGAAUUCCGGGUGUAGCGGUGGAAUGCGUAGAGAUCCGGAAGAACACCGGUGGCGAAGGCGGUCUGCUGGGCCAAGACUGACGCUGAGGCGCGACAGCGUGGGAGCAAACAGG
RNAcentral lists this ribosomal RNA (252 nucleotides) under uncultured bacterium. Its description in RNAcentral is "partial 16S ribosomal RNA". It matches the Rfam family "Bacterial small subunit ribosomal RNA", at positions 524 to 776 of the family's 1533-position model. The record is from RNAcentral.